AUUGAACGCUGGCGGCAGGCUUAACACAUGCAAGUCGAACGGUAACGGGAAGGAAGCUUGCUUUCUUUGCUGACAAGUGGCGGACGGGUGAGUAAUGCUUGGGAAUCUGUUUUAUGGAGGGGGAUAACUACGGGAAACUGUAGCUAAUACCGCGUAAUAUCGAGAGAUUAAAGUGUGGGACCGCAAGGCCACAUGCCAUGAAGUGAGCCCAAGUGGGAUUAGGUAGUUGGUGGGGUAAAGGCCUACCAAGCCGUCGAUCUCUAGCUGGUCUGAGAGGAUGACCAGCCACACUGGGACUGAGACACGGCCCAGACUCCUACGGGAGGCAGCAGUGGGGAAUAUUGCACAAUGGGCGCAAGCCUGAUGCAGCCAUGCCGCGUGAAUGAAGAAGGCCUUCGGGUUGUAAAGUUCUUUCGGUGGUGAGGAAGGUUGGCGUGUUAAUAGCACGUUGAUUUGACGUUAGCCACAGAAGAAGCACCGGCUAACUCCGUGCCAGCAGCCGCGGUAAUACGGAGGGUGCGAGCGUUAAUCGGAAUAACUGGGCGUAAAGGGCACGCAGGCGGAUACUUAAGUGAGGUGUGAAAGCCCUGGGCUUAACCUAGGAAUUGCAUUUCAUACUGGGUAUCUAGAGUAUUUUAGGGAGGGGUAGAAUUCCACGUGUAGCGGUGAAAUGCGUAGAGAUGUGGAGGAAUACCGAAGGCGAAGGCAGCCCCUUGGGGGAAUACUGACGCUCAUGUGCGAAAGCGUGGGGAGCAAACAGG
This 761-nucleotide ribosomal RNA is filed under the name uncultured bacterium. RNAcentral describes it as "bacterial SSU rRNA". It matches the Rfam family "Bacterial small subunit ribosomal RNA", at positions 28 to 776 of the family's 1533-position model. The record is from RNAcentral.